This 492-nucleotide ribosomal RNA is filed under the name uncultured bacterium. RNAcentral's name for it is "partial 16S ribosomal RNA". It matches the Rfam family "Bacterial small subunit ribosomal RNA", at positions 29 to 507 of the family's 1533-position model. The record is from RNAcentral.
AGUGAACGCUGGCGGUAGGCCUAACACAUGCAAGUCGAACGGCAGCACAGUAAGAGCUUGCUCUUACGGGUGGCGAGUGGCGGACGAGUGAGGAAUACAUCGGAAUCUACUUUUUCGUGGGGGAUAACGUAGGGAAACUUACGCUAAUACCGCAUACGACCUACGGGUGAAAGCAGGGGAUCUUCGGACCUUGCGCGAUUGAAUGAGCCGAUGUCGGAUUAGCUAGUUGACGGGGUAAAGGCCCACCAAGGCGACGAUCCGUAGCUGGUCUGAGAGGAUGAUCAGCCACACUGGAACUGAGACACGGUCCAGACUCCUACGGGAGGCAGCAGUGGGGAAUAUUGGACAAUGGGCGCAAGCCUGAUCCAGCCAUACCGCGUGGGUGAAGAAGGCCUUCGGGUUGUAAAGCCCUUUUGUUGGGAAAGAAAAGCAGCAGGUUAAUACCCCGCUGUUCUGACGGUACCCAAAGAAUAAGCACCGGCUAACUUCGUG